Molecule: microRNA precursor, 52 nt
Filed under: Heterocephalus glaber (naked mole-rat)
Lineage: Eukaryota; Metazoa; Chordata; Mammalia; Rodentia; Bathyergidae
Description: mir-1302 microRNA precursor family
Rfam family: mir-1302 microRNA precursor family
Source: Rfam by way of RNAcentral
UUUUUAGGAUAAAUACGUCCCAUUCAAUAUUUGGGAUAUACUUAACCUAAAA